Molecule: long non-coding RNA, 271 nt
Organism: Sinocyclocheilus rhinocerous
Lineage: Eukaryota; Metazoa; Chordata; Actinopteri; Cypriniformes; Cyprinidae
Exons: 4
Source: RefSeq, a predicted model, not a curated record
GUAAGAUGGAUGUUGGAGAGUGAGUAACUUGCUGGAGAUUGAAAUCAUUCUGACAUCUGGCAUAUUGGUCUCAUUACUGGGUCAACUGCUUUAAGUUUCUUCAAGAAGCCCUGAUGCAAGUAAAAGCACUUUAAUCCAAGCCCAGCAGUAUCUGGUUGACCAUCUGAAGCUGUCUGGCAAUUCCAGAGUCCUAAUGUUGGCUUUAUUCCAGAUGUUACCCCACUCUACACGUCUUUGUUCAAGCCCUGGUCAGUCAAACCAGAGGACACAA